GUCGAGCGGACCGACGGGAGCUUGCUCCCUUAGGUCAGCGGCGGACGGGUGAGUAACACGUGGGUAACCUGCCUGUAAGACUGGGAUAACUCCGGGAAACCGGGGCUAAUACCGGAUGCUUGAUUGAACCGCAUGGUUCAAUCAUAAAAGGUGGCUUUUAGCUACCACUUGCAGAUGGACCCGCGGCGCAUUAGCUAGUUGGUGAGGUAACGGCUCACCAAGGCGACGAUGCGUAGCCGACCUGAGAGGGUGAUCGGCCACACUGGGACUGAGACACGGCCCAGACUCCUACGGGAGGCAGCAGUAGGGAAUCUUCCGCAAUGGACGAAAGUCUGACGGAGCAACGCCGCGUGAGUGAUGAAGGUUUUCGGAUCGUAAAACUCUGUUGUUAGGGAAGAACAAGUACCGUUCGAAUAGGGCGGCACCUUGACGGUACCUAACCAGAAAGCCACGGCUAACUACGUGCCAGCAGCCGCGGUAAUACGUAGGUGGCAAGCGUUGUCCGGAAUUAUUGGGCGUAAAGCGCGCGCAGGCGGUUUCUUAAGUCUGAUGUGAAAGCCCCCGGCUCAACCGGGGAGGGUCAUUGGAAACUGGGGAACUUGAGUGCAGAAGAGGAGAGUGGAAUUCCACGUGUAGCGGUGAAAUGCGUAGAGAUGUGGAGGAACACCAGUGGCGAAGGCGACUCUCUGGUCUGUAACUGACGCUGAGGCGCGAAAGCGUGGGGAGCGAACAGGAUUAGAUACCCUGGUAGUCCACGCCGUAAACGAUGAGUGCUAAGUGUUAGAGGGUUUCCGCCCUUUAGUGCUGCAGCAAACGCAUUAAGCACUCCGCCUGGGGAGUACGGUCGCAAGACUGAAACUCAAAGGAAUUGACGGGGGCCCGCACAAGCGGUGGAGCAUGUGGUUUAAUUCGAAGCAACGCGAAGAACCUUACCAGGUCUUGACAUCCUCUGACAACCCUAGAGAUAGGGCUUCCCCUUCGGGGGCAGAAUGACAGGUGGUGCAUGGUUGUCGUCAGCUCGUGUCGUGAGAUGUUGGGUUAAGUCCCGCAACGAGCGCAACCCUUGAUCUUAGUUGCCAGCAUUCAGUUGGGCACUCUAAGGUGACUGCCGGUGAAAACCGGAGGAAGUGGGGAUGACGUCAAUCAUCAUGCCCUUAUGACUGGGCUACCACGUGCUAAAUGGGCAA
RNAcentral lists this ribosomal RNA (1187 nucleotides) under bacterium. RNAcentral describes it as "bacterial SSU rRNA". It matches the Rfam family "Bacterial small subunit ribosomal RNA", at positions 61 to 1237 of the family's 1533-position model. The record is from RNAcentral.